This is a long non-coding RNA of Hordeum vulgare subsp. vulgare (domesticated barley), 373 nucleotides long. RefSeq lists it as uncharacterized. The record is from RefSeq and is a predicted model, not a curated record. The transcript is spliced from 2 exons. NCBI's taxonomy places the organism in Eukaryota, Viridiplantae, Streptophyta, Magnoliopsida, Poales, Poaceae.
CCGGGGAGGUGGGGGCCUUGCUACCUGUGGUUGGUAUGCUACUACAGUUCAGCCCCGACGAGCUCAAUAAAUGCCAACAUGGCGUCCUCUCAAAUGUCGCUUCGCCGCCAGCUACAGCAUUGUCAGAUGGUGGAUCGACACCAAACUCAUUCUUUGGAAGAUUCACAUUCUAGUAGCGGUGCAAGAUCUUGGUUUUGAUGAUCCUCCUUUUACAUAGGUAGAUUCACAUUCACGGGGUGAUCCAAAAUCCCAGCGGUCUUACUGAUUGUGAAAGGUGGCUCUUUUGUUUGCAUGCUUCUCAGCUCUUCUUACCUUUUGUAAAGUACUGUAUAUUAUAAAAAUAGAAAACCAUAAAUACAUAUAUUAUUUUUGA